This 253-nucleotide ribosomal RNA is filed under the name uncultured bacterium. RNAcentral describes it as "partial 16S ribosomal RNA". It matches the Rfam family "Bacterial small subunit ribosomal RNA", at positions 524 to 776 of the family's 1533-position model. The record is from RNAcentral.
UACAGAGGGGGCAAGCGUUAUUCGGAAUUAUUGGGCGUAAAGGGCGCGUAGGCGGUCGUGCAAGUGGAAGGUGAAAUCCCUCGGCUCAACCGAGGAACUGCCUUCCAAACUGCAUGACUUGAGUCCGGGAGAGGUGAGUGGAAUUCCCAGUGUAGCGGUGAAAUGCGUAGAUAUUGGGAGGAACACCAGUGGCGAAGGCGGCUCACUGGACCGGAACUGACGCUGAGGCGCGAAAGCGUGGGGAGCAAACGGG